RNAcentral lists this unclassified non-coding RNA (322 nucleotides) under soil metagenome. RNAcentral describes it as "partial contains 5.8S ribosomal RNA, internal transcribed spacer 2, and large subunit ribosomal RNA". The stretch from base 1 to 120 matches the Rfam family "5.8S ribosomal RNA", at positions 35 to 154 of the family's 154-position model. The record is from RNAcentral.
GAUGAAGAACGCAGCGAAAUGCGAUAAGUAAUGCGAAUUGCAGAAUUCAGUGAGUCAUCGAAUCUUUGAACGCACAUUGCGCCCUGUGGUAUUCCGCAGGGCAUGCCUGUUCGAGCGUCAUUUCAACCCUCAAGCUCUGCUUGGUGUUGGGCCCUGCCCGCUGCGGCCGGCCCUAAAGACAGUGGCGGUGCCGCCUGGCCCUGAGCGUAGUACAUCUCUCGCUCCAGUGCCCGGUGGUAGCCUGCCAGAACCCCAACUCUCGUGGUUGACCUCGGAUCAGGUAGGGAUACCCGCUGAACUUAAGCAUAUCAAAAGCGGAGGA